This 456-nucleotide long non-coding RNA is filed under the name Arabidopsis lyrata. RNAcentral's name for it is "long non-coding RNA (ALYR_LNC001163)". The record is from RNAcentral. Lineage: Eukaryota; Viridiplantae; Streptophyta; Magnoliopsida; Brassicales; Brassicaceae.
AGAGAAAAAAUCAUAAAAACAAAAUGAUUGCAAUCAUGUUUCUUGUUAAGGAAACCAUUCAAAAUUAAUAGUAAGGCGUCUUGUAAACAUAUGGUGGUGGGGAGCUGUAGACGUAUGGUUGGAGAUGGAGAGUAAUACGGUGGGGGUGGGGAGCUAUAGACGUAUGGUGGUGGUGGAGACUUGUAGUAAACCUUUGGAGAAGGAGAGUAGUACGGUGGAGGUGGGGAGCUGUAGACGUAUGGUGGUGGUGGAGACUUGUAAUAAACCUUUGGAGAAGGAGAGUAGUACGGUGGGGGUGGGGAGCUGUAGACGUAUGGUGGUGGUGGGGACUUGUAGUAAACCUUUGGAGAUGGAGAGUAGUACGGUGGGGGUGGGGAGCUGUAGACGUAUGGUGGUGGAGACUUGUAGUAAACCUUUGGAGAAGGAGAGUAAUACGGUGGGGGUGGGGAGCUGUAG